Molecule: ribosomal RNA, 253 nt
Filed under: uncultured bacterium
Lineage: Bacteria
Description: partial 16S ribosomal RNA
Rfam family: Bacterial small subunit ribosomal RNA
Source: RNAcentral
UACGAAGGGGGCUAGCGUUGCUCGGAAUCGCUGGGCGUAAAGCGCACGUAGGCGGAUCUUUAAGUCAGGGGUGAAAUCCCGGAGCUCAACUCCGGAACUGCCUUUGAUACUGAGGGUCUCGAGUUCGGGAGAGGUGAGUGGAACUGCGAGUGUAGAGGUGAAAUUCGUAGAUAUUCGCAAGAACACCAGUGGCGAAGGCGGCUCACUGGCCCGAUACUGACGCUGAGGUGCGAAAGCGUGGGGAGCAAACAGG